AUUGAACGCUGGCGGCAGGCUUAACACAUGCAAGUCGAGCGAGCGGCGGACGGGUGAGUAAUGUCUGGGAAACUGCCUGAUGGAGGGGGAUAACUACUGGAAACGGUAGCUAAUACCGCAUACCAUCAGAUGUGCCCAGAUGGGAUGAGCGAGUAGGUGGGGUAAUGGCUCACCUAGGCGACGAUACCUAGCUGGUCUGAGAGGAUGACCGGCCACGCUGGAACUGAGACACGGUCCAGCACCCUACGGGGUGCAGCAGUGGGGAAUAUUGCACAAUGGGCGCAAGCCUGAUGCAGACAUGCCGCUUGUUUGAAGAAGGCCUUCGGGUUGUAAAGAACUUUCAGCGAGGAGGCGUGACUCGCAGAAGGAGCACAGACUAACUCCGUGACAACAGCCGCGGUAAUUC
This 406-nucleotide ribosomal RNA is filed under the name uncultured bacterium. Its description in RNAcentral is "partial 16S ribosomal RNA". It matches the Rfam family "Bacterial small subunit ribosomal RNA", at positions 30 to 526 of the family's 1533-position model. The record is from RNAcentral.